Molecule: ribosomal RNA, 253 nt
Filed under: uncultured bacterium
Lineage: Bacteria
Description: partial 16S ribosomal RNA
Rfam family: Bacterial small subunit ribosomal RNA
Source: RNAcentral
GACAGAGGAGGCAAGCGUUGUCCGGACUUACUGGGCGUAAAGCGUCCGCAGGUGGUCGUGCAAGUGCCGUGUGAAAGCCGGCGGCUUAACUGCCGGAGGCCAUAGCAGACUGCUCGACUCGAGACCGGGAGAGGUCGGUGGAAUUCCGGGUGUAGCGGUGGAAUGCGUAGAGAUCCGGAAGAACACCGGUGGCGAAGGCGGCCUGCUGGGACAUGGCUGACGCUGAGGCGCGACAGCGUGGGGAGCAAACAGG